Molecule: long non-coding RNA, 1239 nt
Organism: Cyprinus carpio (common carp)
Lineage: Eukaryota; Metazoa; Chordata; Actinopteri; Cypriniformes; Cyprinidae
Exons: 9
Source: RefSeq, a predicted model, not a curated record
CGCAGUAGCCGGACUCGGCGGCUCUUCCGGUUAAAGGAUGACGUCAGGGACACGCGCAAGCAAGACGGUCUUUUCCGGUUCGGAGCGGCGAGGAGUGUGGCAGCUGAGACAUCGUGGCCCCGGAGAUCAGGCUCCUCAGGAGAUGUUGCUCCGUCAGAUGGAUGAUCUCUCUCUGGUUCUGGUUCAGCACUCAGGAGAUGUUUGCCAGCUCCUGCAGAUGCUGGUGAAUGUGGUCAUUAAUGGUGUUUGGGUCAGGAGGAGCGUCGAGCGUCUCAACAGUGCUGUCACCUGAUGUGAUUCUGAAAGAGAAGUGUGCCAGCUCUUUUCUCCAUUCUUCUGCUCCUGACAAACUCUGACAACAGCAGCUGGUGACCGCAGGAGAGUUCACGCACUGAAGCUCCUGCAGAUGCUGGUGAAUGUGGUCAUUAAUGGUGUUUGGGUCAGGAGGAGCGUCGAGCGGUCUCAACAGUGCUGUCACCUGAUGUGAUUCUGAAAGAGAAGUGUGCCAGCUCUUUUCUCCAUUCUUCUGCUCCUGACAAACUCUGACAACAGCAGCUGGUGACCGCAGGAGAGUUCACGCACUGAAGUGAUGUGAUUCUGAAAGAGAAGUGUGCCAGCUCUUUUCUCCAUUCUUCUGCUCCUGACAAACUCUGACAACAGCAGCUGGUGACCGCAGGAGAGUUCACGCGCGCUGAAGCUCCUGCAGAUGCUGGUGAAUGUGGUCAUUAAUGGUGUUUGGGUCAGGAGGAGCGUCGAGCGUCUCAACAGUGCUGUCACCGGAUCAUCACACCACCACCACCGAAGAUGAGCUGGAAAGUUUAACAGUUGGGCUUCACACAUCUGUUGCUUUAUAAACUUAUGAAUAAAUGAUAUUUCAUAACAGAAAUAUGAAGUAGAAUGUAUACACAGCUAUUGUGUGCAGUGCAGUUGUGGUCUGUUAAGAAGCCGUACUCCCUUUUGUAAUUUACUGACGUCAACCGCUUAACAGGCCAAUCAUCGUGUGAUCGGACAUUGUGUGUGUGUGUGUGUGUGUAUACACAUCAUAUAUAUAUGAUGUAUACAAUUAUUCAAUGUAACAAGAGGUAUCGCAUCCAUUUUAGCAAUGUUUAAAAACAUAUUAAAUACUGUAUAAGUGCUGUCUUAGCAUUGCGUGAUUACAGGGUAGUUUUGUUUUUAGUUUUUCAAAAGGUGUGAAAUUUGUCACUUUAAUAAAAUGUGAAGAAAUGUGGUAUAUAGAAA